GGAAUUCUAGGGUUGUUGUCAUUUAAGCACAAGCUCUUCUCCCAGUCGCUGCCGCGCUGCAUUUGAUUGCAGGAGUCGGCUAUGGAUUCUCGCAAGAAAUUGGUAAACUUGUUUUCUCUAGAGGAAUCUUUGCUGUUUCAGACAGAAUGUCACUAUAGCUUCCUGCGAGGAAAUCAGUAAAUUCAUGAGUUUUUUUUUUUUUUUGCAUAGCUUGAAAAUUAUGCUUUUUUUGUUUGAGAAACUUUGAAGUCUUCCUUUGAGAAACUUACUCCGGCUGGGUUUGUUCUUCGCAGCACCGGUGCUAGAAUCGUCACUGCUGCUGCCGCACUGCUGCAAGACGAGGUCGGUGAUUCUUUCUCUCUGGUUGUGCUCGCGUUUAACUUCUUCCACCUUGUAUAGAUCGGACAGGCCCCUGGCACAGCAUCGUCAGGCGUAUCUUUGUGGAGCUGGAAGUCACCGCACAGCUCCUAGUGUCCCACACAUCGACGUCCCGCGACUUCCCCUUGAUUUGCUCCAGCCACUUCGCCGAUAUGUGCUGCUCGCUUCUCACGCUCGUCAACUUGGCUUACCAGCUUGGAUGAGCGCCGUUGGAAACCGACCAUACCUGGCCUUUCUUCGCCUUGAGCAGCGUCCAGUCGGCGUCGAAGUCGUAAGUCCCGAACGCCUGCUCCAUGGGCGGAGGGCGAUCGUCUCCUCCCAGGAAGUUCUCGGAGAGGAGAAGCGGCCUCUCUUGCUGCUCGGGACCUCCUCCUCCCCGUGGUCGUCGAACCUGUAGCAGAGGAUGUUGCGCUGGAAGCUUGUUCCUUCCUCGGCCGCCGGUUUCUCGCUGGCUGGCUUCUCACUCGCGGGUUUCUCUGGGGCCUGCUGCUUCACAGGCUUCGAGUAUUCUGCUUCGCUGUCUGGAACUUCCAGGAUUCUCCAUUCAGCUCAUCAUCCCUGUCUGGAACCUCGUCACCUUCCUUCGCAUCGCCGCAGCUAGCCGCGGACAAUCCUUCUUCUGGCGUUUCACAUUCACUUGACCUUUUUUCUAGCGAUCUCUUUUGGACAGCAUCCUUGCUUCCUGGAUUACGGUUCAAAAACUCGUCGAUCUUCCUGGCCCUAGGAAACUUAACCAAAAUUUUUUUUUAAAAAAAAACACUUACUGCUUGCAACGAGAAAUGGAGAAAUGCCAGCAUAGAAACUCUUAGAAUUGAAAAAAGAAAACUAGAAGCCAAUGAAGCUUAGAAGUAUAGCUAGCCAGUCAUCAAGAACGUGGAUUAGGCUUGAAUUACCCAUAGAUCAAUCAAUCUUAAAGAUUCACUGCUCCGGCGGCUCCACCAGCGGUUCCUGGGGCUGCUGUGGCGCCUGGGGCUGCUGUGGCUGCCGUGGAAUCAG
This 1374-nucleotide long non-coding RNA is filed under the name Selaginella moellendorffii. RNAcentral's name for it is "long non-coding RNA (SMOE_LNC001758)". The record is from RNAcentral. Lineage: Eukaryota; Viridiplantae; Streptophyta; Lycopodiopsida; Selaginellales; Selaginellaceae.